This 74-nucleotide transfer RNA is filed under the name Candidatus Gallacutalibacter stercoravium. Its description in RNAcentral is "tRNA-Gly". It matches the Rfam family "tRNA". Rfam says of the family: Transfer RNA (tRNA) molecules are approximately 80 nucleotides in length. The record is from RNAcentral. Lineage: Bacteria; Bacillati; Bacillota; Clostridia; Eubacteriales.
GCGGGUGUAGUUCAGCGGUAGAACACCAGCCUUCCAAGCUGGUUGUGUGGGUUCGACUCCCAUCACCCGCUCCA